This 550-nucleotide ribosomal RNA is filed under the name uncultured bacterium. RNAcentral's name for it is "bacterial SSU rRNA". It matches the Rfam family "Bacterial small subunit ribosomal RNA", at positions 355 to 896 of the family's 1533-position model. The record is from RNAcentral.
UGGGGAAUAUUGGACAAUGGGCGAAAGCCUGAUCCAGCCAUGCCGCGUGUGUGAAGAAGGCCUUUUGGUUGUAAAGCACUUUAAGUGGGGAGGAAAAGCUUAUGGUUAAUACCCAUAAGCCCUGACGUUACCCACAGAAUAAGCACCGGCUAACUCUGUGCCAGCAGCCGCGGUAAUACAGAGGGUGCAAGCGUUAAUCGGAAUUACUGGGCGUAAAGCGCGCGUAGGUGGUUAUUUAAGUCAGAUGUGAAAGCCCCGGGCUUAACCUGGGAACUGCAUCUGAUACUGGAUAACUAGAGUAGGUGAGAGGGGAGUAGAAUUCCAGGUGUAGCGGUGAAAUGCGUAGAGAUCUGGAGGAAUACCGAUGGCGAAGGCAGCUCCCUGGCAUCAUACUGACACUGAGGUGCGAAAGCGUGGGUAGCAAACAGGAUUAGAUACCCUGGUAGUCCACGCCGUAAACGAUGUCUACCAGUCGUUGGGUCUUUUAAAGACUUAGUGACGCAGUUAACGCAAUAAGUAGACCGCCUGGGGGAGUACGGCCGCAAGGUUA